This 81-nucleotide transfer RNA is filed under the name Berkelbacteria bacterium GW2011_GWE1_39_12. RNAcentral's name for it is "tRNA-Leu". It matches the Rfam family "tRNA". Rfam says of the family: Transfer RNA (tRNA) molecules are approximately 80 nucleotides in length. Their secondary structure includes four short double-helical elements and three loops (D, anti-codon, and T loops). Lineage: Bacteria; Candidatus Berkelbacteria. The record is from RNAcentral.
GCCCGGGUGGUGAAAUGGUAUACACGCCAGUUUUAGGAACUGGUGUCGAAAGACGUGGAGGUUCGAGUCCUCUCCCGGGCA